This 427-nucleotide ribosomal RNA is filed under the name uncultured bacterium. RNAcentral's name for it is "partial 16S ribosomal RNA". It matches the Rfam family "Bacterial small subunit ribosomal RNA", at positions 354 to 796 of the family's 1533-position model. The record is from RNAcentral.
GUGGGGAAUAUUGGGCAAUGGGCGCAAGCCUGACCCAGCAACGCCGCGUGAAGGAAGAAGGCUUUCGGGUUGUAAACUUCUUUUAUGAGGGACGAAUAGAUGACGGUACCUCAUGAAUAAGCCACGGCUAACUACGUGCCAGCAGCCGCGGUAAUACGUAGGUGGCAAGCGUUAUCCGGAUUUACUGGGUGUAAAGGGCGUGUAGGCGGGACUGCAAGUCAGAUGUGAAAUUCCAGGGCUCAACCCUGGACCUGCAUUUGAAACUGUGGUUCUGGAGUGAUGGAGAGGCAGGCGGAAUUCCCUGUGUAGCGGUGAAAUGCGUAGAUAUAGGGAGGAACACCAGUGGCGAAGGCGGCCUGCUGGACAUUAACUGACGCUGAGGCGCGAAAGCGUGGGGAGCAAACAGGAUUAGAAACCCGUGUAGUCC